GAUUUUUGGCAAUUUUACCUCAGAAAUUCCAGAAUUUUCUCUUUCCCUCAUGGAAUUUUCUUUUCCCAGCCGUUGUCAGCGCCAUUCCCGUUCCAACCUUGGAGAGUUCUCAAUAUCCAGGGAUUUUACCUUCUCCCACCGGAUUCCCGAAUUUCCCUCUGAGGCCUCUGCCCUUCCCCAGCCUUGUUGGAAGAGCUCUUCCCGAAAAUCCUCCUCUGGAUCAUCCCAACCCCGAGGAAAUUCCCAGCAGGACCAUCCCGACCGCCUGCGUCCGUCCCACCCAUCCCCUGCGCAGCUUCGCCAAUGCCGUGGAUCCCAACGUCCCCUACCCGCCCCUGCUGGCCCAAGCCCCCCUGAAGACGGCGUCGCUGGGCUUCCCGGGCAAAGCUCGCUCGCCGCUGCUGCCGGUGUCGGUUCCCACGGCGCCGGAAUGCGCCGAGGACGCCCCGGAGCCGCGGAGCGAGGCCGGAAACGUUUACGAACAGGACGAGCUGAGCGAGCAAAUGGCGAGUUUGGAAGGGCUGAUGAAACAACUCAACGCCAUCACUGGAUCCGCCUUUUAAUUCCCAAAAAAAUCCCUCGGAAUUCCCGAAAUUCCAAAAAUUCCCGAGGUUUUGGGGUCGGGAAAUCCGAAUGGGAAAAAAAAAAUGGUGGAAUUUGGGGGUUUUUUGGGGAUUUAGAGGGGAAAUUUGGGUUUUUUGGGGGUUUUUUGGGGGGAAAAUGGGAAUUUUUGGGGUUUUUUUUGGGGGGUUUUUGGAGGGGGAAUUUGGGAAAAAUGGGAAGAAGUUUCAUGGGAAAAUGGGGAAAAAUCCUGGAAAAAUGGAAAAAAAAUUCAGAAAAAAUGGGAAAAAAUUCAGAAAAAUUCCUGGAAAAAUGGGAAAAAAUUUCUUGCAAAACUGGGAAAAAAAUCCUGGAAAAUGGGGAAAAAUUCAGAAAAAAUCCUGGAAAAAUGGGAAGAAAUUUCAUGGAAAAAUGGGGAAAAAAUCCUGGAAAAAUGGGGAAAAAAUCCGGGAAAAAAUCCUGGAAAAAUGGGAAAAAAUUCAGAAAAAAUCCUGGAAAAA
This 1061-nucleotide long non-coding RNA is filed under the name Cyanistes caeruleus (blue tit). RNAcentral describes it as "lncRNA (ENSCCEG00000002825.1)". Lineage: Eukaryota; Metazoa; Chordata; Aves; Passeriformes; Paridae. The record is from RNAcentral.